Molecule: long non-coding RNA, 149 nt
Organism: Triticum aestivum (bread wheat)
Lineage: Eukaryota; Viridiplantae; Streptophyta; Magnoliopsida; Poales; Poaceae
Exons: 3
Source: RefSeq, a predicted model, not a curated record
UUUUAUCCGUUGAGCGACGGCCCUUCCACUCGGCACCGUCGGAUCACUAAGGCUGACUUUCGUCUCUGCUCGACGGGUGAGUCUUGCAGUCAAGCUCCCUUCUGCCUUUGCACUCGAGGACCAAUAUCCUAGAUCGGAAAAGCACACUU